This is a non-coding RNA of Manis javanica (Malayan pangolin), 1308 nucleotides long. Lineage: Eukaryota; Metazoa; Chordata; Mammalia; Pholidota; Manidae. The record is from RefSeq and is a predicted model, not a curated record.
GUGAACCACCACUGAGGUUAUGUCUCAUUCAUUCACCGGCUGAGGUUGCAGCCCGUGAGAUAAAUGCAAGCCCCGGAGUGCAGAAGUGCCCAGGCAGGGGAACACCUUCAACGUGGCCAGGCUAAUUUACACAUCCGCAUUUGAUUGGUGCUGACCCUUUCCAUCUCUUUCUUAGCCAAGGCCAACAUUACUCUGGCCUCUAAAAUGUGCUCCGUUUCUUACGACGAUCCAGGUAAGCUAAAAUGGUCUCACACCCUUUCCUCCUUGUCACCUUGCCAAUUUUUGUGGAUUAUGAUCUCUUCUUCCAUAUAAAUUGGGAACAGUACGGACAGUUACUUACUGUCACUCAUUUCAUAAACAUCCAUUUGACACCUACCCUGGCUUCUACAAGGAUGGGCUCCUGCCCGAGGACUUACUAACUCUUCCAGAGCUGCAAGUCCGGAUCUGGCAGGAGUCAUAGAACGCUGCACCCAAGCCCGCCCAGCAACAAAUGCCUGUCCUGGCUGGGGAAAGAGGGGAGAACCAGGAGCGAUCUGAAAACGUGUGCCGGUUUUCCUGUGCGGUUUGGGUCACUUACCAAAUGCAGGAAGAAACAAUUGCCACACCGAAUUAAGCCCGGUGACAUCUAAGAAAACUCUAUACACACUUUUCUGAGGGAGAAGCAACGUGUUUAAGAUCAAGGGAUUAGUUUAACUAAAGGUUUAAAUUCAGCCCUGGAGCCAAGGGGUAACUCUACUUUGAAAUUCCACUCCAUUUCAAGUUCAGGAACGUAAAUUGAGUAAUGGAGAGCAAACACACGCUAUCCUGAGAGGUGCGGCCAACCUGGAGUAUGAGAUACCGGACUCCUGAGACCAAACCAGAUACAACAUUUAAAUAAGACUUGACUAGAAGUUCAGGGAUAUUUCAUGAAGAAAUAAACUCAAUGGGAAGAACUUUAUCAUCUGUGAAAUGGGAAUGAAACUAUCUACCCUUUGGCACUGUUAGGAGAAUUCAGUGCAGCACAGGUACAUGGUAAGCACUCAAGAAAUAUAGUUACUGUAAUACUCCCAAGGAGCUAUUGAGAAACAAGGUCAAAGAUUUAUGCACACAAAUAUUCACUGCAACAUUUUAAAAAUAAAACUAGAAAAAAGAAACCCAAAUGCAGAACAAUGGAAAACUAAAUUAUGGUUCACUCAAACAAUGGAAUAUUGUUCUUCUAUUUAAAAUAAAAACAACCUAUCUUUACCAACCUUCUUCAUGACAUGAAAAAUGUUUUUUGAAACAAUGCUUACCAAAUAAAACAGAAUAGAAACUUGAUAGGUCACAAUA